AGUUUAAGUAAUUAAGGGCGCACGGGGGAUGCCUAGGCUCUCAGAGGCGAAGAAGGACGUGACAAGCUGCGAUAAGCUGCGGGGACCGGCACAGACGGUGCGAUCCGCAGAUUUCCGAAUGGGGCAACCCAGCCAGCAAUGGUUAUAUCGAAAGAUAGGCGAACGUGGGGAACUGAAACAUCUAAGUACCCAUAGGAGGAGAAAACAACAGUGAUUCCGUAAGUAGUGGCGAGCGAACGCGGAACAGCCCAAACCAUACAUGUUACGGCAUGUACGGGGUAAUAGGACCUGCAUAAUCGAAGACAUUUCAGACGUGAACGCCAUGGGAAAGGCGGCCGUAGAUGGUGAGAGCCCCGUAACGGAAGGAAAUGUCAAGAGGCGGGUAUCCUGAGUAGGUCGGGACCGGAGAAAUCCCGAUUGAAUUUGCCGGCACCAUCCGGUAAGGCUAAAUACUCCUGAGAGACCGAUAGUGAACCAGUACCGUGAGGGAAAGGUGAAAAGUACCGUGAAUAACGGGGUGAAAUAGAACCUGAAACCGUGCGCUUACAAGCGGUCGGAGCGGAGCGAUUCCGUGACGGCGUGCCUUUUGCAUAAUGAGCCUACGAGUUACUCCUCACUGGCAAGGGUAAGGAUUUAAGAUCCGCACCCGGAGCGAAAGCGAGUCUGAACAGGGCGCUGAGUCAGUGGGGGUAGACGCGAAACUUUGUGAUCUACCCAUGGACAGGUUGAAGCUCUGGUAAAACAGAGUGGAGGACCGAACCGAUAAACGUUGAAAAGUUUCCGGAUGAUCUGUGGGUAGGGGUGAAAGGCCAAUCAAACUGAGAAAUAGCUCGUACUCCCCGAAAUGUUUUUAGGAACAGCGUCGGGAAUUGUACGGCGGAGGUAGAGCUACCGAUAGGACUAGGGGGAGUCACAUCCUACCAAAUCCUGACGAACUCCGAAUGCCGCCAUACAGAACCGGCAGUGAGGGCUUGGGUGCUAAGGUCCAAGUCCGAGAGGGAAAGAACCCAGACCUGCCGCUAAGGUCCCAAAAUCCACACUAAGUUGAACAAAGGUGGUCCAGUUGCAGAGACAGCCAGGAGGUUAGCUUGGAAGCAGCUAUUCCUUUAAAGAGUGCGUAACAGCUCACUGGUCGAGCGACAGGGCGUCGAUAAUAAUCGGGCAUCAAGUGUGGUACCGAAGCGCAGGAUUGUAUGUGGUGAUACGUCAUCACGCAGUGGUAGGGGAGCAUUCCAAUGACAGCGAAGGUACAUGGCAAUGUGUGCUGGAGACAUUGGAAAAGCAAAUGUAGGCAUAAGUAACGAUAAGGCGGGCGAGAAACCCGCCCACCGAUAGACCAAGGUUUCCUGAUCAACGCUAAUCGGAUCAGGGUCAGUCGGGACCUAAGGCGAAGCCGAAAGGCGCAGUCGAUGGACAACGGGUUAAUAUUCCCGUACCUGUUAUACAGGCAAUGGAGGGACGGAGUGAUGAAAGACACGCCCGGUGACGGAAUACCGGGUUGAAGGUCGUAGGUAUUGGGGGUGUAGUAAAAUGCGCACCCUUAGCCGAAAGCCGAUAGUACCGAGCGUCUUCGGACAAUCGGAUAGCUGUCCUAAGAGCUUCCAAGAAAAUCUUCUAGCGUUAAGCGUAUAACGGCCCGUACCGCAAACCGACACAGGUGGUCAAGGAGAGAAUCCUGAGGUGCUCGAGUGAAUCAUGGCUAAGGAACUCGGCAAAAUGGCCCUGUAACUUCGGGAGAAGGGGCGCCUACCCACAGCGAUGUGGGAGGCCGCAGUGAAAAGGCCCAGGCGACUGUUUAUCAAAAACACAUGGCUUUGCGAAGUGGCAACACGAAGUAUAAGGCCUGACACCUGCCCGGUGCUGGAAGGUUAAGGGGGGGCGUUACCGCAAGGGAAGCGCUGAACUGAAGCCCCAGUAAACGGCGGCCGUAACUAUAACGGUCCUAAGGUAGCGAAAUUCCUUGUCGGGUAAGUUCCGACCUGCACGAAUGGUGUAACGAUCUGGGCACUGUCUCAGCCAUGAGCUCGGUGAAAUUGUAGUCGCGGUGAAGAUGCCGCGUACCCGCAACGGGACGGAAAGACCCCAUGAACCUUUACUGCAACUUAACAUUGGCAUUGGGCAAACGAUGUGUAGGAUAGGCCGGAGGCAGUGAAGUGGCGUCGCCAGGCGCUGUGGAGCCAACCUUGAAAUACGGCCCUUUGUUUGUCCGGUGUCUAAUCCCUCAAGGAGGGAGACAUUGUUUGGUGGGUAGUUUGACUGGGGUGGUCGCCUCCAAAAAGGUAACGGAGGCUUCCAAAGGUCCCCUCAGUACGCUUGGUAACCGUACGCGGAGUGCAAUAGCAUAAGGGGGCUUGACUGUAAGGCCGACAAGCCGAGCAGGGACGAAAGUCGGGUAUAGUGAUCCGGCGGUUCUGUAUGGAAGGGCCGUCGCUCAAAGGAUAAAAGGUACUCUGGGGAUAACAGGCUGAUCUCCCCCAAGAGCUCAUAUCGACGGGGAGGUUUGGCACCUCGAUGUCGGCUCGUCACAUCCUGGGGCUGGAGAAGGUCCCAAGGGUUGGGCUGUUCGCCCAUUAAAGUGGCACGCGAGCUGGGUUCAGAACGUCGUGAGACAGUUCGGUCCCUAUCUGUUGCGGGCGUGGGAAGUUUGAGGAGACCUGACCUUAGUACGAGAGGACCGGGUUGGACUGACCGCUGGUGUACCGGUUGUGAUGCCAAUUGCAUUGCCGGGUAGCUACGUCGGGAAGAGAUAAGCGCUGAAAGCAUCUAAGUGCGAAACUCCCUCCAAGAUGAGACUUCCAAUAAGGGCCGUCAGAGACGAUGACGUCGAUAGGCUGCAGGUGUAAAGUCAGAAAUGACAUAGCUGAGCAGUACUAAUUGCCCGGAAACUUAAACACAC
RNAcentral lists this ribosomal RNA (2896 nucleotides) under Anditalea andensis. RNAcentral describes it as "bacterial LSU rRNA". It matches the Rfam family "Bacterial large subunit ribosomal RNA". Lineage: Bacteria; Pseudomonadati; Bacteroidota; Cytophagia; Cytophagales; Cytophagaceae. The record is from RNAcentral.